This is a long non-coding RNA of Pimephales promelas (fathead minnow), 1065 nucleotides long. RefSeq lists it as uncharacterized. The record is from RefSeq and is a predicted model, not a curated record. NCBI's taxonomy places the organism in Eukaryota, Metazoa, Chordata, Actinopteri, Cypriniformes, Leuciscidae.
CGUGGGCCACCUCAGCCACAGAGCCAUCUCCCCCAACACAUACCACACUAGAGAGAAAGCAAACGGAUGGGCGGUGUCAGAGACUGUGCCUUAUCUUCAUCUGUAGAGGUUAAAGCUUCAACGGAGAGGCCUCACCAAACACACAGUGUGCCGAGACAAUGCGGAGCUUUAUGGGAAUGACGGAUGAGGAGAAAGAAAGUCAUAAUGGUUUGGAGCAACAUGACCCUUUGAAGUGACGUCCGCAUUUCAGACACAUGUACCUGCCACCUGUGGACAUUCCAUGAGGUCAGCAUUUACUACAGCGAUGCAGCCGCCCUGUGACUCAGAGGCUUAGGCUUCUACCCCUGAGGGCUAUCAAGACCGGCUAAUGUCACCCAACACAGCGGCUACAUCUGUCUCUGUCCAGCCCCCAUCUCAGGGCACAGAGGGUGCUGAUGGGAAAGGUCUACAACAAUAAAGUCCAGCUUGACGCAGGAGUGUGACCACAUGCUUUGACAAGAGCACCAAGAGCACAUUAUGUGUCCGGAGUGGAGCGCCGAGGGCUUCCCGGGCUCUGAUUGACCUGCCUAGGCUAAUCUUUCAAAAGAGGGUUUAAGGACACAAGGAGUCUAUUCCAGUUCAACUCGACGACUACAUUGGACCCAAGUAGACUGUAGUACAGGUGCUACUAUUGUUGCCGGUCGUAUCCCCGCACGUUUGGUCUGUGGCCUGGCCCGACCGCUCGCUCUCUGACCACAAGGUUUAAUCUGUCAGCUGGGCGGCCGCACCUCAUGUGUCAGCGCACAUCACAUGGCUUGUCAGAAAAACACGCCGAUGCUGCGUAUGGCAUUCAGAGCUCACCUUGAAUAAAAUGGAGGUCUGGGGGCUUUUUUUUACCGAACCGUUCACCUUUUGUGCUGAGUGUCAGCUGGGACACACCCUCCAUUGUGCCGCCUCCCUGGGAAACACCACGCCGGGAUACGCUGGGCUGCUGUAACAGUGUCAGGAUGUUCAACUGUUCUGAUGAGGGAACGUACCGCUGAGGAUCUCUUUAAGGCUUUUGAACCAAGUCUCACAGUGGUCCAC